GCGCAAUGUCCGAAAGGGUGACGCAGCGACGCCGCGUGGAGGACGAAGGCCCUAUGGGUCGUAAACUCCUGUUGGGGAAGACGAAUGAUCAGCUAUACGCUGAUUUGACUGUAUUCCUCGAGGAAGCACCGGCUAACUACGUGCCAGCAGCCGCGGUAAUACGUAGGGUGCAAGCGUUGUCCGGAAUCACUGGGUGUAAAGGGUUCGCAGGCGGAUCUGCAAGUCGUUGGUGAAAUUCCGGGGCUCAACUCCGGCGCUGCCAUUGAUACUGUGGAUCUUGAGUGUAAGAGAGGAAGGCGGAAUUCCUGGUGUAGCGGUGAAAUGCGUAGAUAUCAGGAAGAACACCGGUGGCGUAGGCGGCCUUCUGGCUACCACUGACGCUCAGC
RNAcentral lists this ribosomal RNA (386 nucleotides) under uncultured bacterium. RNAcentral describes it as "bacterial SSU rRNA". It matches the Rfam family "Bacterial small subunit ribosomal RNA", at positions 366 to 751 of the family's 1533-position model. The record is from RNAcentral.